GAUCAAUAUGUCGGUCGUGCCUUCGGUACGUACUGGUAUCAUUGGUUUCUCCUUUCUGACGAACCAUGAUGUCAUUAAUUUGGUGUUAUGGGGAGUUAGGACUGUUACUUUGAAAAUUAGAGUGUUUAAAGCAGGCUUUAGCUUGAAUACAUUAGCAUGGAAUAAUGAAAUAGGACAUCCGAUUCUAUUUUGUUGGUUUCUAGGAUCGAUGUAAUGAUUAAUAGGGAUAGUUGGG
Molecule: ribosomal RNA, 235 nt
Filed under: uncultured Glomus
Lineage: Eukaryota; Fungi; Glomeromycota; Glomeromycetes; Glomerales; Glomeraceae
Description: partial 18S ribosomal RNA
Rfam family: Eukaryotic small subunit ribosomal RNA
Source: RNAcentral